GUAGUUGUUGAUCUCAUUUAAGUUGUUGCUGUUUCAAUGAAAAUGAAACUCACUACCGUCCGUAUCGUGGAUAUUUAAAUUAAAAUUAAAAUUUAAUGUACAUGCAAUAUUCUUAAACUAAUUCGUAACUGUAGUCGAAUAGAAUUAUGUAUAAAUACGUAGAAAAACUAUAACUUAAAAGCUAGAUGUGUGUAAAUGGUUUUAUACAAAUUGGCCAAUGGCAACAAUGCUCAAUUUUGAUCCAGAGAAAACAACAAAAACUACAUUGUCACUACGAAAGGGCGGCAUGUCGGUCAGUAGAGAAAAAACAAGUUACAUCGGAAGACUCCAAGACGAUGACUCUUACAAGGAGCGGUUUUAUAAUUAAAAUUUGAAUUGUAAAUCAAAUUGCACAAAAAAUACCAUAAAUAAUAUGGUAAUCCAGGCUGAAACAAAAACUUUAUUUGAUUACAUCAAAAACCAAUCUAUAUAUAGCAAAGAAGACAGCUUUAUUUUGGAAACGUCUCCCAAAGAAAACUUUUAUAUCAAGGACUGAAAUCAGCACCCGAAUUUAAAGCUAGUAAAGACAGACUAACAUUAUUUCUAGCUGGCAAUGCAAAUGGCGAUUUUAAGUCUAAGCCGAAGGGCUGCUCAAAGGAUUGACUUUCUAUACACUGGCAAGCCAAAAAGAAAUCAUGGAUGACGACGUUGUUAUUUAAAAACUGGGUUUCUACCUGCACCACUAAACCUUUUUUGCAAUGAAGAGAAGUUAAGUAAUCCUAUUGGUCACCCGGUUUACAUUGAUGACUUAUCUGAAAAUGCACAUCACAUCAUUAAUGCAGUCGAAGAAGCAGGAUGUAAUUUCGAAUUUUAAAACGUAUUAUCUCAGCCCAUCAUAUAAAAUACUUUUAAGUGAAACUGAUGGAGAAUUAUUCCAGAAUUUUGGCGCAAAAUAUGGUCAGAAUGUGCACAUAAGAAAAACAGGUACAAUUCCUAUUUAGAAUAUGACGACGAUGAAGCGGAUAUUAUUUGUCAUCAAAUUGCUAAAUUAGCAAGAGAAUAAAUGAAUUGCUUGUUUCUUAUGACCAAUGUCGAACGAUAACUAUAAGUGAGCGUACAAACUUAUCUUCACGGAAAAUAUCUAAAGCAAUGACUCUAAUUGACGAAGCAAUGAAAAUUUUUUAAAGAAAUGAUCCUAGUUUUAAUUGUUUCAAGAAAAUUUACUUCAAUAUAAAAACACAAGCUGUUCAGCAAACUUUGGACAUAUUUUUUGAAAAAGGAAAGAUCUUGGCCUCGCCUGCAGAGUCUGAGUAAUUUUGAAAUUAUGUGUUAUUUUAAUUUUUGAUUCAGUUUCUAGUUUAUGUUUUUGAAUAAAUAAAGUUUUACUUUUGUUUUAUUAUUUAAA
This is a long non-coding RNA of Bactrocera neohumeralis, 1384 nucleotides long. RefSeq lists it as uncharacterized. The record is from RefSeq and is a predicted model, not a curated record. Lineage: Eukaryota; Metazoa; Arthropoda; Insecta; Diptera; Tephritidae. The transcript is spliced from 2 exons.